UACGUAUGGUGCGAGCGUUGUUCGGAAUUAUUGGGCGUAAAGGGCGUGUAGGCGGGGAACUAAGUGGGGAGUGAAACCUCCGGGCUCAACUCGGAGCCUGCUUCCCAAACUGGUUCUCUGGAGUACGGAAGGGGCAUGGGGAAUUGGCAGUGUAGCGGUGAAAUGUGUAGAUAUUGCCAGGAACACCGGUGGCGAAGGCGCCAUGCUGGGCCGUAACUGACGCUGAGGCGAGAAAGCGUGGGGAGCAAACAGG
This 253-nucleotide ribosomal RNA is filed under the name uncultured bacterium. Its description in RNAcentral is "partial 16S ribosomal RNA". It matches the Rfam family "Bacterial small subunit ribosomal RNA", at positions 524 to 776 of the family's 1533-position model. The record is from RNAcentral.